UUUGACCUCAGGUUGCAAAUGCAGGCUGAUCCCUGGAGGAUGUUGACGUGUUUGAAAUCAAUGUAGCCUUUGCAGCAGUGUCUGCAGCAAUAGCUACAGAACAUAGAUCAAACCCCGAGAAGGUGAACAUCUAUGGAGGAGUCAUUGCCUUGGGCCAUCCUCUGGGAGCAUCUGGCUGUAGGAUUCUAGUGACCUUGUUACACACCCUGGAGAGAGUGGGCGGGACUAGUGGUGUUGCAGACCUGUGCACUGGGGGUGGGAUGGGGAUGGCAAUGUGUGUUCAGAGAGGAUGAGCCAUCACCCUUACAGUUCUCAUUAAAACACUAAACAGAACGUG
Molecule: long non-coding RNA, 337 nt
Filed under: Rattus norvegicus (Norway rat)
Lineage: Eukaryota; Metazoa; Chordata; Mammalia; Rodentia; Muridae
Description: long non-coding RNA NONRATT002148
Source: RNAcentral